AACAGCGAACUGUUUAUCAUGAAUACAGAAUGUGGGCAAACUCGCUUCUGUGCCGGCCGCCAGAAGGUUUGCUGAGGGCAAUCACUCCCUGGUGCCGGGCUCCUUGAGGUUAUGCACUGGGACAUCUAGAGCCUAUUGUUUGAGGAAUGCAGUCUUGCAAGCCUGCUCUGGAUCAAGCCACAGACUGAAACACCCCCGAAGAGCAAGCACGUUUCUUGGAGCAGGCUAAGUGUGAGUGUCAUAUCUUCAAUGGGAUGAAGCGGGUGCAGUACCUGAACAGAUACAUCCAUAAACGGGAGGAGAACCUGCGCUUCGACAGCAACGUGGAGGAGUUCCAGGCAGUUACGGAACUGGGGCGGCCUGUCGCAGAGAACUGGAACAGCCAGAAGGGCAUCCCGGAGGAGAAGCGGGACAAGAUGGACGACUACUGCAGAUACAAUUACGGGGUUUUUUGAGAGCUUCACAGUGCAGCCGCGAGUCCAUCCUAAGGUGACUGUGUAUCCUGCAAAGACCCAGCCCCUGCAUCACCGCAACCCCCUGGUCGGCUCUGUGAGUGGUUUCUAUCCAGGCAGCAUUAAAGUCAGGUGGUUCCAGAAUGGUCAGGAAGAGAAGGCUGCGGUGGUCUCCAUAGGCCUGAUCCAGAAUGGAGAUUGGACCUUCCAGACCCUGGUGAUGCUGGAAACAGUUCCUCGGAGUGGAGAGGUUUACACCUGCCAAGUGGAGCAUCCAAGCGUGACGAGCCCUCUCACAGUGGAAUGGAGUGAGCAGCUUUCUGACUUCAUAAAUUUCUCAACCACCAAGAAGGGGACUGUGCUAAUCCCUGAGCGUCAGGUACACGGACUGAAUCUGCACAGAGCAAGAUGCUGAGUGGAGUCGGGGGCUUUGUGCUGGGCCUGCUCUUCCUUGGGACAGGGCUGUUCAUCUACUUCAGGAAUCAGAAAGGACACUCUGGACUUCAGCCAACAGGACUCCUGCGCUGGACUCCUGAGCUGAAGUGCACAUGACCACAUUCAAGGAAGAACCUUCUGCCACAGCUUUGCAGGAUGAAAAGCUUUCCCACUUGGCUCUUAUUCUUCCACAAGAGCUCUCU
Molecule: long non-coding RNA, 1090 nt
Organism: Homo sapiens (human)
Lineage: Eukaryota; Metazoa; Chordata; Mammalia; Primates; Hominidae
Gene: HLA-DRB6
Product: major histocompatibility complex, class II, DR beta 6 (pseudogene)
Source: Ensembl